UUGACGGGGCCCGCACAAGCGGUGGAGCAUGUGGUUUAAUUCGAUGCAACGCGAAGAACCUUACCAAGGCUUGACAUACACCGGUAACGCCCAGAGAGUGGGUGCCCCGUUUGUGGUCGGUGGACAGGUGGUGCAUGGUUGUCGUCAGCUCGUGUCGUGAGAUGUUGGGUUAAGUCCCGCAACGAGCGCAACCCUCGUCCUAUGUUGCCAGCGGGUCAUGCCGGGGACUCAUGGGAGACUGCCGGGGUCAACUCGGAGGAAGGUGGGGAUGACGUCAAGUCCUCAUGGCCUUUAUGACCAGGGCUACACACGUACUACAAUGGCCGGUACAAAGGGCAGCGACACAGCGAUGUGAAAGCCAAUCCCGAAAAGCCGGUCUCAGUCCGGAUUGGAGUCUGCAACUCGACUCCAUGAAGUUGGAAUCGCUAGUAAUCGUGGAUCAGCACGCCACGGUGAAUACGUUCCCGGGCCUU
RNAcentral lists this ribosomal RNA (473 nucleotides) under uncultured Nostocoides sp. Its description in RNAcentral is "bacterial SSU rRNA". It matches the Rfam family "Bacterial small subunit ribosomal RNA", at positions 910 to 1382 of the family's 1533-position model. Lineage: Bacteria; Bacillati; Actinomycetota; Actinomycetes; Micrococcales; Intrasporangiaceae. The record is from RNAcentral.